Molecule: long non-coding RNA, 673 nt
Organism: Papaver somniferum (opium poppy)
Lineage: Eukaryota; Viridiplantae; Streptophyta; Magnoliopsida; Ranunculales; Papaveraceae
Exons: 4
Source: RefSeq, a predicted model, not a curated record
UGAAACCAUUGUUCAUUUACCUACUCUUCAUUUUGGGCUUCCGUACUGAUACCUUACAGCAUUCUCAAAAGGUUUGAUUCUCUGGUACCUACGAGUGUAACCUAGCUCAAUUUUGGACUUGGAUCCCUGAUCCUUGAGCACAGUUUGAAAAGGGUCACAAAUACGCCCCGUAUUUCUGAACUUCUCAGCAAUUAAUACUUGUUUUCCAACAGCAAGGACGGGGUUGGAGCAUGAUCUGAAGCCUAAUUAUGGAACUUCUUGUGUGAAUAAAGAUAGUGAACUGGUAAACCUUGAAGCACAGGAAGAGAAAAUUAGAGAAUGGCAUGCUAUGUUCACUACACAAGUUACUCAGAAGGCCAAAAAGUAUCAUGAUGGGUUCUUACAACUCUCAAUUUGUGUUUCCCAGAGGAAGCAGAUGUCUUGUCGUCAUGUUUUGUAUUUUCUGAGUUUUACGGGGAUAGCAGAUGGCUCGUUACCUUAUUACUCUUGACAAAAAUAUAAAUAGUGUUGUCGUACAUUGCUAAAAAGAGUUAUGGUGUAAGAUGAAUUGUAUACCAAGUUAUCUAGUUAAAAAGUGAGGAGGUGGAAUCACCAAUUUAGUUCUUUAGAAAUGUAUGAUCUGUGUUGCCUGUUGGAAACGAUUAAUAAAAAAAAUAACUUUUUAAAGUUUUAA